This is a long non-coding RNA of Panicum virgatum (switchgrass), 1501 nucleotides long. RefSeq lists it as uncharacterized. The record is from RefSeq and is a predicted model, not a curated record. The transcript has 4 exons. NCBI's taxonomy places the organism in Eukaryota, Viridiplantae, Streptophyta, Magnoliopsida, Poales, Poaceae.
GUUUCGUUCCCCGGGGACACGCCGCACCCUCGACCCCCACGCGCCGCCCUCCGACCUCCGCCUCCUGCCGUCCCGCUCCAGUCGCCGGCGCCCGACCCUGAUGCUCCUCCACGUCGCCUGCAGCUCCGCGUCGGUGCCGGAUUGGUUAGGGUUUGGGUUUCUGGUGGCCGAAGCCGAGACCCCCCCCCCCCCCCCCCCGCCGCAGGGGCUCGCGCCGGAGGGCCCAAGCUCACGGGGCUCUCCUCAUCCUCCUCCGCUCUGGGGUAAGAGACUCCCGUCCCUGCUCCUGGAGACCACUCCUCUCCUCGAUUUGGUCCGUUUCCCCUGAUUUUCCGGGUUGCCUCGAGCAAUCUGCUGGUUUGGGGAUGACCUGCUUUGGGGGCGUGCGCAUCUAUGCGGCGGAUUUUGGGGGAGUCGAGCGUUUCGAGGUAGAGAUGUUUAGGGGUUUUCCACCAGUACAGUAUGGCCCAUCUUGCACAAAUGCCUGCCGGCCGCUCUCCAGUUUCCAAUUGACUUGGAACAAUAUGACUGAAGAGAGCAGCCUAAGAAAAGUGGCCUGGGAAAUGUGAGCUAUCGCCAUGGUGAGGCCUAAGGGAGACUUCGACUCAGCUGUCGUGGGAUCGAUGCGCCGUCGCGUCGUUCCUCCAAGCUGUAUGUCAGAGGAGCAAUUCCAUUUGGAUGAGAUCUGCACUGGUGAGUUGCUGGAUUUCACCCUCUACAAUACUUGCUGCAUUGUAAAAUUGUUGAACUAUGGAAUUGAUCAAUUGUUAAGAUUGUUUGUGGUUGGACUAUGCGGAGGAUGAUGGCACCUUCAUCUCUAGACCUCCUGAUCCAUUGUCGUGUUGGACUGUCGAGAAUUCGACUGUCGACGGGUGCCGUAGACCAGGGUGCUGACUGCUGAGUGUUGGUGAUGCUUGGCCCCGUUGACGACGGAUACAUAUGCUUCUCGACUCAGCCACCGGCAAGUCACUCUUCAGCUUUUGUGCUUGCUCUGGCGUGGAGGCAAAUGGAUACCGCAUCUUCUUUUUCUGGUUUCUGUGUAGGUAUCUCUGAUGAUAAGGCCUUAUUAGACAGAGAUUAGUCCAGGAAGAUUGAAUUUCCAAAUCCCAAGUAGGAUUCUUGUUUUGAUAUCUUGAAGAUCCAUUCAAGGUAAUGAACUUGAUGCACAUAUUGCCUUCGUCCUGGAAACAAUGAUUUGAACUGCAUUGGCUACUGGAUUGCUGAGUCAGUUGCCAAGAAGAUGCUUAAAUAGGAUUGUCUGCUUGCUGUUCCUUCAUCCACAAUACUUCCAUAAAUUGAUUUUGUUGAUUCAAAAUUGCAUGAGCUGCAGCUUGGUAUUUUCAACGCCCCUCAGUGUCCAUUAGGCAAGCUCAAAGUUAAUUGUGGGUAUCACUGGGGAUGUGAUUUGUUUUGGUUUUUUGAUUUUCUGAGAACAUAUAUGGAUAUAGUUGUACGGACAACAACAUAUGUGGAUAUAGUUGUACAGGCAGUAAAUCUAAUA